RNAcentral lists this ribosomal RNA (648 nucleotides) under Flavobacterium sp. TSBY-68. RNAcentral describes it as "bacterial SSU rRNA". It matches the Rfam family "Bacterial small subunit ribosomal RNA", at positions 56 to 703 of the family's 1533-position model. Lineage: Bacteria; Pseudomonadati; Bacteroidota; Flavobacteriia; Flavobacteriales; Flavobacteriaceae. The record is from RNAcentral.
UGCAAGCCGAGCGGUAUUUGUUCUUCGGAACAGAGAGAGCGGCGUACGGGUGCGUAACACGUGUGCAACCUGCCUUUAUCUGGGGGAUAGCCUUUCGAAAGGAAGAUUAAUACCCCAUAAUAUAUUUUACGGCAUCGUAAGAUAUUGAAAACUCCGGUGGAUAGAGAUGGGCACGCGCAAGAUUAGUUAGUUGGUGAGGUAACGGCUCACCAAGACGAUGAUCUUUAGGGGGCCUGAGAGGGUGAUCCCCCACACUGGUACUGAGACACGGACCAGACUCCUACGGGAGGCAGCAGUGAGGAAUAUUGGACAAUGGGUGAGAGCCUGAUCCAGCCAUCCCGCGUGAAGGACUAAGGCCCUAUGGGUUGUAAACUUCUUUUAUACUGGAAUAAACCUGCUUACGUGUAAGUAGCUGAAGGUACAGUAUGAAUAAGCACCGGCUAACUCCGUGCCAGCAGCCGCGGUAAUACGGAGGGUGCAAGCGUUAUCCGGAUUUAUUGGGUUUAAAGGGUCCGUAGGCGGAUCCGUAAGUCAGUGGUGAAAUCUCAUACCUUAACUAUGAAAACUGCCAUUGAUACUGCGGGUCUUGAGUGAGAUUGAGGUAGCUGGAAUAAGUAGUGAAGCGGUGAAAUGCAUACAUAUUACUUA